Molecule: long non-coding RNA, 244 nt
Organism: Perca fluviatilis (European perch)
Lineage: Eukaryota; Metazoa; Chordata; Actinopteri; Perciformes; Percidae
Exons: 4
Source: RefSeq, a predicted model, not a curated record
CAGGCUCAUCCAGUCUCAGAGAACCAAUCAGAGCUCCACUACAGUCCAAACUGUCAACCAAGAUGAAACUCAACAGCAACUAUACUCCUCUCUUCUCCAUGGUGAUGUUUGUGUCUACGAAACAAUCGUCAGCUCUGGGAACACUCGAUGUGGUGAACAAGCAGAUGAAUACGGAAAUGGCACAUCUAAGAUUCAGCUCAAAGAUUUUGGAAAGAGGAGAAUGAUGCGUGAUGAUACAGCGGCG